AUCAGCCUGUGAUACUGCUGGGGUGUGAUGAAGGCCCAGGUGGCUUUGAUACCAGCCUUCAGCUCAUCUGUAUUGUUGAGUCUGUUGUCUCUCAUCUUCCU
Long non-coding RNA from Thalassophryne amazonica, 101 nucleotides. RefSeq lists it as uncharacterized. NCBI's taxonomy places the organism in Eukaryota, Metazoa, Chordata, Actinopteri, Batrachoidiformes, Batrachoididae. The transcript is spliced from 3 exons. The record is from RefSeq and is a predicted model, not a curated record.